This is a small nuclear RNA of Salarias fasciatus (jewelled blenny), 102 nucleotides long. NCBI's taxonomy places the organism in Eukaryota, Metazoa, Chordata, Actinopteri, Blenniiformes, Blenniidae. The record is from Ensembl.
GCAACUUCAGUUAUGUUUGUACUAAAAUUGGGACGAUACAGAGAAGAUCAGCCGACUGGGCGCAGAGAUGACAUGCAAAUUCAUGGAGCGUUCCUCAUUUUU